Molecule: transfer RNA, 73 nt
Filed under: Rubrobacter xylanophilus DSM 9941
Lineage: Bacteria; Bacillati; Actinomycetota; Rubrobacteria; Rubrobacterales; Rubrobacteraceae
Description: tRNA-Phe (GAA) (tRNA-Phe-GAA-1-1)
Rfam family: tRNA
About the family: Transfer RNA (tRNA) molecules are approximately 80 nucleotides in length. Their secondary structure includes four short double-helical elements and three loops (D, anti-codon, and T loops).
Source: Rfam by way of RNAcentral
GGCGGGAUAGCUCAGGUGGUAGAGCACGUGACUGAAAAUCACGGUGUCCCCGGUUCGAGUCCGGGUCCCGCCA